This 349-nucleotide ribosomal RNA is filed under the name Clemnius acaroides. RNAcentral describes it as "Hygrotus acaroides partial 12S ribosomal RNA". Lineage: Eukaryota; Metazoa; Arthropoda; Insecta; Coleoptera; Dytiscidae. The record is from RNAcentral.
UUUAAAUGUAAAUUUAUUAUCAAAGUAGUAUUAGUUAUGGUCUUGAAAUUUAAAAAUUUUGGCGGUAUUUUAGUCUAUUUAGAGGAACCUGUUCUAUAAUUGAUAGUCCACGAUAAAUUUUACUUUAUUUAAUUAGCUUAUAUAUCGUCGUUAUUAAGUAUUUUAAAAGAAAAUUAAUAUUUAAGAUUUUUAUAAAAAAAUAUUUCAGAUCAAGGUGUAGUUUAUAAUAAAGAAGAAAUGGGUUACAAUAAAUUUAUUUAUACCGAUUUAUUUAUGAAAAUGGUAAUGAAGUUGGAUUUAAUAGUAAUAAAAUUUAAAUUGAUUUUAUGAUUUAAGCUCUAAAAUGUGU